Molecule: long non-coding RNA, 1582 nt
Organism: Homo sapiens (human)
Lineage: Eukaryota; Metazoa; Chordata; Mammalia; Primates; Hominidae
Gene: LINC-PINT
Product: long intergenic non-protein coding RNA, p53 induced transcript
Source: Ensembl
GUCACAUGAUGGACAUGAUAUAAUGAAACAACAUUGUGGAGAGGAAAGCAUUAGGGGAGCCCACGGCUACAAAAACAAGUGAGUGAGAAGAGGUGGGAGGAAGAGAAACUACGCCACCUCCCCUGCAGCCGAGUGCACGCAGCAGCCUGGCGUGACAAGUGGGCGACGCCGGGGGGCAGGGAGCCGGGGUCCUUGGCCCUGGCCGGGGACCCCACCGCCCACCGCGCGGAGGACAACUUUUAGCCGGCAGCCCAGACCAGCGCGGCACCUGUCUCCGGAGUCUCCACCGCUCCUCCCGAUUCAUCCCAGGGAAAUUCUCAAGAAUACGCUCUACAAAUCUACGUGCGCAUCAUUUUCACCUCGCGUCGCGCCCGGGAGGAAGGAACGAGGCAAGGAGCUAAAGCAGCGUGCGUUCAGCCCUGGGGCAUUUUAUUAAUGCUUUUACGAGUUAGAAGAGUUGGGAUAAUUUGCCAUCUGGAGUUUCUCUGCCUUGCUGAUCUGAGCUCAGACCUGCCAAUUUACCAGAGAUAAUUGAUAACACCCUGUAACAGCUGAAGACAGAGUCUUACCCUGUCACCCAGGCUGGAGUACAAUGGUGCGAUCUCGGCUCACUGCAACCUCUGCCUCCUGGGUUCAAGUGAUUCUUCUGCCUCAGCCUCCUGAGUAGCUGGGACUACAGGAGGAAAAUGGAAGAAACGGAGAUACUUUUAGUGAAGCAGAAUAAACCACUGAACAGGAAAAAUGAGGAAGCUGUGAGUACCAGUGGAAGGAACGAGCCAGGAAGAGGGACUGGAACCAUCUCAGAAGCCAUGCCCCUCAGGCUGGAACUUGCCCUGUCUCCUCGCAGAUGAGCUACCUCUUGUGUUUAAGAAUUAAAGGAAGAUGAGCUAGGAAUCAAGAAAUACGCAGAACUGAUUCCUGUCACUGGCGCCACCCUGCCACUUGCCCAGAGCUGUGGUAUAAAUUUUUUUAAUAGGCUGAAAUAAAAAUAUGAAUAGCAUUUUGGUAUUAAGCAUUAAAUUGAUAAAGGCUAUGAGAUACACCUGCUCUCAACCAUGUUAAUUUUUUAUUAUUGGUAUUAAUAAAUUAUUACUUACUAACAUAUUAACAAGAAUUGCAUUGAGAAACAAAGCAUCCACAGGCCAAAUCUUCUGAAUUUCAAAUGUUUAUAUUAAUGCGUUGUAUUCUAGAAAAGUAGAAUUGUCUUAAGUAGCUUUGUAAUAUAAAGUCAUCUAUCAGCCCAUUACACCUAUUAGAAUGUUUUAACCUUUAUUUCCCACUUUUUUGUUUCUAGACUGAGUGUACUUGGUCUGGUAUUUGUGGCAUAACUUACGGAACACAUAAGAAUGAUACAGAUACUAUUUAAUGAUGACCUAAUACAAGCUUAGAUAGCUAAGGUGAAAGCUUCUAUGGCCUUAACAUUUUCCUCUUGAAGAAUGUAUUUUCUGUAAUAAAAUACAGUGGCUACUUGAAAUCUAUAAACUUAUGUGAGGUCUGGAUAAAUCUGAGCAACUUUCUUCUUUGUGCUCCAGGAACCUACGCACUAUAUAUAUAAAUAAAGCUUAAGUAAACAUCACUGCAA